GCUAGUCACAUUUAAGACAAAUUCAUAUACAGUUGGCUAUGUGGUUGAAAUCUAUAGCCGUGUUCUCUAUUAUGGAAUUGCAUAAAUAAGGUCUUGAUAACGGAUUUCUCAUGGUUCUAUCUUAUUAUACAUUAGAAGACUAUGAAACUUGGUGUGGUAGACACAAUAACAGAACGUCCCCCUGCGUCUGACACAUGGAUACUUUAUCUACCGAAAAGGAAAUGUGUAUAAAUACAAUGAUGAUUACAUCCUCAUUUAACAACUGUAUGAAGGUGCUAAUCCCACAGCCCUCACUUACAUGUGUUCUUCAAAAAGGCUGUUUAAAGCAGCUUCUAAAUUUAUACAACAAAUAUUAUUUUCAGAUUUGCUAGUAAUAGUAUGUAUGGGGCUCAUCUCCAUGCAAACAUAAUCGCUACACCUUUUAGCUAUGCCGAUUCAGACAUAUCCAUUUAUCACCACAUCCAUGUAGAAUUAGGGUAUCACCACUUCUGGCAUAUGUUCACCAAUUGUAAGUUCCACUGGUAUGUGACUUCGCAAUGACCUAUUCAAAUCAAACUAUGAAAAUAGCAUGUCGCUUGCUAGGUAGUAGGGAUUACCUUUGCCAGAAGGUAUGUGGUUUCCUUAUCAAACAAAAAUGUUUCAUUGGGUAAUAUGAUGUCUUCUUCAGUACUCCUAAAACUUUACAUGAAAUCAAAGUAAACUUUAUGUAUCGUAGAAGAGUUAUUUACUUUUAAAUGUUUACAAAUUUCUAGUGCUAGCUUCCUCUAGAAGACUGCAUGUUCUCUAAACUCAUACCUUGCUCUCUCUGGCAUGGCAUUUGGUUCUGGUUGUAUAUGCACCCAAAGGUUUGAAUUAUUUAAUCAUUUCAUGUACAUUUAGUUUUAGUUUUUUUCAAGGGUCACCGACAACAGUCUCUUUUGGCAGGAUUUUCUAUGACAGAACAACACAGGGAAGUUGUUAUGGCAAGUAUUUGGUGUUCAAGCAGCAACUUUCUGCCUCUAUGGCAUUCGUGAGCUUGAACAAAUAAUGUGGAAUGCAUUUAAGCUUGCAGUGAAAGAGAAGGUUUGGUGCCUUUAUCCCAACAAGAAUACUCCAACAAAGUCGGUUCAUGACCUUUAGUCAAGAUUCUUCACCAGUUCAACAAGGUGGUAAUUUUCAUGUUGAUUCUACACAGACAAAUGGAGAUAAAACUCUGCACUUUGUUUUACUUGAUGGUACAUGGAACAACUCUGCUGCCAUGUUUAGACGUUUGAAGGAUUGAGCAAAUGAAAUCUGGGGAGAGGACCU
This is a non-coding RNA of Camellia sinensis, 1287 nucleotides long. The record is from RefSeq and is a predicted model, not a curated record. NCBI's taxonomy places the organism in Eukaryota, Viridiplantae, Streptophyta, Magnoliopsida, Ericales, Theaceae.